This 255-nucleotide ribosomal RNA is filed under the name uncultured bacterium. Its description in RNAcentral is "partial 16S ribosomal RNA". It matches the Rfam family "Bacterial small subunit ribosomal RNA", at positions 524 to 776 of the family's 1533-position model. The record is from RNAcentral.
GACGGAGGAUGCAAGUGUUAUCCGGAAUCACUGGGCGUAAAGCGUCUGUAGGUGGUCAAAUAAGUCAACUGUUAAAUCUUGAGGCUCAACCUCAAAAAUCGCAGUCGAAACUAUUCGACUAGAGUAUAGUAGGGGUAAAGGGAAUUUCCAGUGGAGCGGUGAAAUGCGUAGAGAUUGGAAAAGAACACCGAUGGCGAAGGCACUUUACUGGGCUAUUACUAACACUGAGAGACGAAAGCUAGGGUAGCAAAUGGG